This 463-nucleotide ribosomal RNA is filed under the name uncultured bacterium. Its description in RNAcentral is "partial 16S ribosomal RNA". It matches the Rfam family "Bacterial small subunit ribosomal RNA", at positions 28 to 507 of the family's 1533-position model. The record is from RNAcentral.
GACGAACGCUGGCGGCGUGCUUAACACAUGCAAGUCGAACGGAAAGGCCCUGCUUUUGUGGGGUGGUCGAGUGGCGAACGGGUGAGUAACACGUGAGUAACCUGCCACUGCCUUUGGGAUAACUUAAGGCAACUGGGGCUAAUCCCGGAUAGGAGCUCCUGCUGCAGGGUGGGGGUUGGAAAGUUUUGUCGGUUGGGGAUGGACGCGCGGCGUAUCAGCUUGUUGGUGGGGUAGUAGCUUAGCAUGGCGACGCACCAUAGCUGGUCUGAUAGGAUGAUCAGCCACACUGGGACUGAGACACGGCCCAGACUCGUACGGGAGGCAGCAGUGGGGAAUAUUGGACAAUGGGCGAAAGCCUGAUACAGCAAUGCCGCGUGAGUGAUGAAGGCCUUAGGGUUGUAAAGCUCUUUUACCCGGGAUGAUAAUGACAGUACCGGGAGAAUAAGCUCCGGCUAACUCCGUG